This 710-nucleotide long non-coding RNA is filed under the name Apteryx owenii (little spotted kiwi). RNAcentral describes it as "lncRNA (ENSAOWG00000012361.1)". Lineage: Eukaryota; Metazoa; Chordata; Aves; Apterygiformes; Apterygidae. The record is from RNAcentral.
GAUAAAACAAGAAAGAGAAAGAAGCAUAAGAAACAUGGUAAAAAGAAGAAAAAGAAGAUUGCUGGUUCAAAUUCAGAUUCAGAAUAAUAUUAAAAAAGCAAGACUAUCCUUUCAACAAAAGUGCAAUGACUAAAGGAAACUUAAACUGUGAAAUGAUGGCAAACUUUACCAAACUGCAUGAGUUUUCCUGUGUUUUAGAAAUAUUCCUAAUAUUUCAGAAGCCAGCCAGAUGCAGCUGUGCUGGGAAAGACUAUUGUUGUUGCCUGCUGCUUAAUAUAUGGGUUGUGGUGUUGGAGUUCUGCUAAAAGGAACCGGUAAUGAACCGUAUGAUAAAUGCUCUGCUCUGUGUGAUGCCUUAUUUGACUUCUACACAACAACCUGUGUCAGAAAGAAAUAAAAGUGGAAAUGAGUGCCCCAGUCUUCCAAAUGCAUGAGCAGGAAGAGUGAAGUCUGAUCAAAGCAUUUCAGCUUUCUUGGUCUGUAUAUGAGAAGGUUUCCGCGGAAUACUUCUUGCUCGGCCAUCUCCGUUUCAGGCAGUCAGUUACUAGGAGUCGUCGGCGUGCGGCCGCCUGACGGCGCCUCCGCAGGCAAAGCUUUCCCUGCGCUUCGCCGCCAUGCUGCGGGGCGGGGGGAGGUGCCGCGCCGCGCCCCCGCCGGCCACUGGCCCGCCCUCCGUCGCGUGACCGGUUGCCACGGUAGCGGCGCGCGGC